CUACGGGCGGCUGCAGUCACGAAUCUUCCCCAAUGGACGAAAGUCUGAGGGAGCGACGCCGCGUGAAUGAUGACGCCCUUCGGGGUGUAAAAUUCUUUUCUCAGAGAAGAACGUUGACGGUAUCUGAGGAAUAAGGGGCUGCUAAACUCGUGCCAGCAGCAGCGGUAAUACGAGUGCCCCAAGCGUUAUCCGGAUUUAUUGGGCGUAAAGCGUCCGCAGGUGGUUUUCUAAGUCUUGCCUCAAAUCUUGAUGCUCAACAUUAAGGCUGGGUGAGAAACUGGAUUACUAGAGAGUGGGAGAGGUCAGUAGAAUGGCUGGUGUAGGGGUUAAAUCCGUUAAUAUCAGCUGGAAUACCAAAAGCGAAGGCAGCUGACUGGAACACUUCUGACACUCAUGGACGAAAGCGUGGGGAGCGAACGGGAUUAGAUACCCUGGUAGUC
RNAcentral lists this ribosomal RNA (440 nucleotides) under uncultured bacterium. RNAcentral describes it as "partial 16S ribosomal RNA". It matches the Rfam family "Bacterial small subunit ribosomal RNA", at positions 339 to 795 of the family's 1533-position model. The record is from RNAcentral.